Molecule: long non-coding RNA, 4523 nt
Filed under: Glycine max (soybean)
Lineage: Eukaryota; Viridiplantae; Streptophyta; Magnoliopsida; Fabales; Fabaceae
Description: long non-coding RNA (GMAX_LNC004676)
Source: RNAcentral
UUUAUUUUAUAUCAUUCAUCACUGUCAAACCCCGUCAACAUCUCUAAGACUGAAACAUCCUGUUCUACUGAAAAUGAACAAAUCUCUUGAAUGUGUAACAAACACAAAGAGAUUUUACAAUUCUCCUUCAACAUAUCAUCACGCGUGCAAAAUUGGAAAUUGAACAACUCAAUUUGACUUAUUAUUUUCUAGUCAUCCUACAACUCAAUUUUCAUGAUUCUAAGCAAAAAGAACAUAACCAAAUUUUUUGAUAUAUUUUUUUGUUUUAUUAUGUGAACUCAUCCCCAUUUUUUGUUUAAUUUCUGUUUUUUUUUAAUUCAUCAAUCAUCUCCGGUCCCUACCGGCCACCACCACCAGGCUCUUCUCUGCUCAACUGGAUUCUACCUUUGUUUACCACCAAGAAAUGCGUCUACGACAACUGAAUUCUAUCUUUCUCACCUUCAUUAGAACACUUUCUCCUUGGCAACAAAGACAUUUUCCCAGCCAAAUUCUACAAUUGAUAUUACUUCAAACACUUAAACGCACAACACAGGUCCAACAAAGAAGAAAACUAAAACAUUACAAACAAAAUCCAAAACCCACAACUAAACUUGCAUCUCUAGUCAAAUUCCAAAGGAAGCCAAAUACCUCCACAACAAAUAAAGGGAAAGCGGUUCCUGAAGCAAUCGUGUGGAGGCGGCAGCGAGGAGCGGGUCUAGAUCUCGCAGUGACGACGUCAAUGGAGUUACCGACGAGGACGAGGCGGAAAAGGAGGACACCAAGGGAGGAACGAAUCUCAGAUCUGGGAGGAGCUAAUCUCAGAUCUGGAAAAAAAAUCAGAAAAAUGAUAGAGAGAAACGGACUGGAUCUCACGACGGAUCUCGCUAUGGCGACGGGGAGAGGGGCUAGAUGAGGUCGGCGAAGCUUGACCAGGGAGGAGUGGUCAGAGACGACGAAGACGCAGCAGAAGGGAUGUGUUGCCGACAGCGAAUGAAGGUCGUCGGCGUGGCGGUGGGUGGUGCCGACGAAAUUUGAUCUGAAAAAGAAAAAAGAAAGUCCAGGCAACGCAAGAGAGACGAAAAGAGCAUAAAAAAUACUUUUAAUAAUUUUCAUUUCAUUUUUAAAAUAAAAAAAGUUUUUAUUUUUUUAUUUUUUGCUUCCGGUAAAUAACCUAUUAUCACAGGUCAUUUUACUUCCUCACCACAACAAAAAAAGAAAAAAGAUAUCAAGUACUUGAUUGCUUGAACGGAACACGUCCAUGGCUCAUGAAAUGAAACAAACCUAAUUAUCUAAAUUUCAAGGUUUGAAGUUUCAACUUUCAAACACCAGCUGGAUUUAGAUAAAGAUAUACACGCAACGCAACAAAUUUAAAAUCAGGGAAUUUCGAGGUUUCAAGUUCCAUUGGUUGGGCUAAAUAAUUACCAUCAUAUUUAGGGUUUUGGACUUCCACUGAAGCAUCCUUAGUUUUAAAGUUUUAAAGAGGAAAGGAUGGGUUUUUCACCUUUCAUUUGAUGUGAAAUCUACUGGAUACAUCACACAGGUUUUGAUUUUUUGAGAAGAUUAUGCAAUUAAUCUUUAAUUUGAUAUUUAAUCAUGUUUUAAGUUUUUUUAUUUCUCCCUAAAUAUAUAUUUUACACAAAUUAAACUCAAAUUUUUCCUCAUAAAUUCAAUGUAUAUUGACAAUUGAGUUAUACCCAUUAAACAAAAAAUCAUUUAUCAUAUAGCUCAAAUCCUGCAACAAAUGAGCAAGUAAACUACUAGUCUUAUUAGUUAUGAAAUUGUUUAAGAUAAAUAUUUAUUUUAUAUAAUACUUAAGAUUUAUAAUAAAUAAAUAUUUUUGAAAAUAUGUUAUAUUUAAAAUUUAUAAUAAAUAACUUAAACUAUAAUAUAAGGUUAUUUUGAAUUAUUAAAAUUCAAAAAGUAAGUUAAAUUCACUUUAGAGAUAUAAAUAAAAGAGAUAUAUAGUUAAAAAGAUCAACUAUACCAUAAAAGAAAAUAUAAGAAUGUCUAAUUGUGAGUUAAAGAAAACAAGAGUCUCACAUCAUUCUUAUUUGAUAGAUGCAGACGUGCAAAUAUUUUCUUUUAAAUUUUAAUAACUUAAGAGAUGUAUUUUAUAAAGAGAUAAAUAAAUAAUGAAUCAUGUUGUUCUGUAUUAGCGAGAGUUAAGAUUAUAUGAUUGUAGUCAUAUUUUUUAUGAUAUAUUUAUAUUUUUCUUUGCAUAUCAUUCAAAAUUUGACUAUGAACAUAUAAUCUUAACUCUCUUACUAAGGUAUGAACCACAUGAUUUGUUUGUCUCCUUUAAAAUUCACCUAUAAGUUAUUAAAAUUAAAGUUUGAAAGAAGAUGUUUACCUAUUGAGAGUAUAAAAAGUUUUAUGCAAUUACAAUUGUCACUACAAAAUUAUUUUAUAAUUGUUAGUACAUAAAUAUUAAAUUAUUGAGACAGUUGAAAAAUAAAACUUUUGAAUGACUGUGAUGAUAAUAUAUGAAUAUGAAAAAGUUAUAUAUUGACAGUGUAAAAUUUUUUACAAAUCCAUUCAAUUACAAUUUAUUAUUAUGUAUGAUAAAUUUAUUGAUUUUUAAAAUAAUUUUUUUAAAGUAAUUCAAACAGUAAUAAUUUAUGAUUAGAUAUAAUUGUAAAACUAUUAGUGAAUAGGCAUUAUUAAACUUAUGUAUAAAAUGCAUAUGCAAAGAAUAUAUAUAUAUUCAAGUAUAUGGAAAGAAUAGACAUUGAGAAUUUCUAAUUAUGAGAAUAAAGAGAAUCAAAAUCUCAUUCUACAAUCUGUUUAUUUUAAUUUAUUAUAUAAGAAAAUAUUAUUGUUAAUAAAUCAUAAACUAUUUUUUCCAUAAUCUUAUCUGUAUUUAUUUUUAAAUUUUAACAUCAAUUUUACUAUAUAUUUGAUUGGUUUCACAAUAUUUUGUGCGAGAUUGGAUCAAAUAAUUUAAAACUUAAUCAUAUAUUUAGUCUUAUAAUAAUAAUUAUAUUUUUAGUUGAUUUUAUUAUAUCAAUAACAUAUCAUAUAUAUAAUCACAUCAUUUCAUCUCAAGUUCAAGUUUUAUAUAUAUAAUUAUAUUAUUAAAGAAAGAAUUUAUAAUAAUUUUAUCUUAGUCAAACAUAAUUAUCUUCCUUAAAAAAUAUCUAUCAUCUUCAAAAAAAAAAUAUAAUCUCAUGAUUUAAAAAAAUAUCUUAGUCAAGGAUAAAAAAAUAAUAAAAAUAUUUAGAAGACUAAAUCAAAUAAAAGUAUAAUUUAAUUUUGAUAUAUUAUGAGCGUAAAAAAAAUUAUACUAUAAAUUAGUUAUAUGGUUUUAAAAAAAUAAGUUUUUUUAUUACAAAAUUACAAUUUUAUCAUCUUAUAUAACGAUAAAAAAGUAAAUGAUAAUGUAAAAUCUUGACCAUAUCAAUAUAUUACAGUAAUUAGAUUCAUAAAAAUAUAUUUAUAAAUAUUAAAUCCACAUUUGAGUCAAUAAUAAUAAUUUAAUAAAAAAAGUUGACAAAAGCUUAUUAAAUUAAGCAAUAAACAAAAUCAUGUGGGGCAACUUGGUUGGUCCACUACCUAAUAAACCACCUCCCGGAUUCUCAUUCUCAUUCUUAUUGCCAGCGAGUGAGUCAAAAGAGACACUAACAAAACAAACCCCGUGAAAGCAAAGCACCCCACCGCGCUCUUUGCCUAACCGACUCACUCCCAUGGAAUCCGAUCUAAACGACGCCGUUUUUCCCGAAGAAGAUCUCGACGACGACGACGAAACUCCAGAGGAUGAAGAGGAGGAGGAGGACGACGACGUCUUAGAUGACGAUGAAACCGAACCCCCUCCCUCCGUCAUCGCCGUCGCGCCGCCCGCUUCCGAAACGCUCGACACCGCGUUAAUUCCGAUCUCCUCCGUCGCGGAUUCCUCGCCGAAACCGCUGCGCACGGAGCUAAUCGAGGAGAAAAAAGCGCUGGACGAUUCGCGGCGACUGUUCCAGCGUCUGUGGACAGACGAGGACGAGAUCGGGCUCUUGCAGGGUUUUCUGGAGUACACGGCGCAGCGAGGAUCCUCUCACCACAACGACACCGCCCUGUUCUACGACCAAAUCAAGUCGAAGCUCCAACUCGGCUUCAACAAGAACCAGCUCGUCGAGAAGCUCCGAAGGCUGAAGAAGAAGUACCGCAACGUCCUCAACAAAAUCAGCUCCGGCAAGGAAGUCUCUUUCAAGAGCCCUCACGACCGAGCCACCUUCGAAAUCUCGCGCAGGAUCUGGAGCAACACCGCUCCAAUCACCGGUCCCGUCGAAGACGACGACGAAAUCAUCACUAACCCUAAUUUCGGCAAUUCGGCGAAGAUGCCUAUUUCGCGGAAGCGGUCGCGGCCUCAGAAGCGCGAGUUGAACGACGGUUCAACGUUGAAUAGAGAUAAUAAUUGCAAUAGUAACAGUAAUAAUAAUAAUAAUAAUGAGAAUUGUAAUAGUAGGCUUAACUUACAGGGUUUGAUUGAAGAGACGGUGAGGAGUUGCGUGUCGCCGGUGUUGAAGGAGUUGGCGUGUGGUACUGGUGGCAUGGGAUUGGGA